Molecule: ribosomal RNA, 650 nt
Filed under: uncultured bacterium
Lineage: Bacteria
Description: bacterial SSU rRNA
Rfam family: Bacterial small subunit ribosomal RNA
Source: RNAcentral
UGCAGUCGCGCGGUCAGCAAUGGCAGCGGCGGACGGGUGAGUAACGCGUAGGAACGUAUCCAGAGGUGGGGGACAACCCCGGGAAACUGGGGCUAAUACCGCAUAUGUCCUGAGGGACAAAGCAGUGAUGCGCCUUUGGAGCGGCCUGCGUCCGAUUAGGUAGUUGGUGGGGUAAUGGCCUACCAAGCCUGCGAUCGGUAGCUGGUCUGAGAGGACGAUCAGCCACACUGGGACUGAGACACGGCCCAGACUCCUACGGGAGGCAGCAGUGGGGAAUAUUGGACAAUGGGCGCAAGCCUGAUCCAGCAAUGCCGCGUGUGUGAAGAAGGUCUUCGGAUCGUAAAGCACUUUCGACAGGGACGAUGAUGACGGUACCUGUAGAAGAAGCCCCGGCUAACUUCGUGCCAGCAGCCGCGGUAAUACGAAGGGGGCUAGCGUUACUCGGAAUUACUGGGCGUAAAGGGCGCGUAGGCGGCUCGACCAGUCAGGCGUGAAAUUCCUGGGCUUAACCUGGGGACUGCGCUUGAUACUGUCGGGCUUGAGGCCGAGAGAGGGUGGUGGAAUUCCCAGUGUAGAGGUGAAAUUCGUAGAUAUUGGGAAGAACACCGGUGGCGAAGGCGACCACCUGGCUCGGUACUGACGCUGAGGCG